Long non-coding RNA from Panicum virgatum (switchgrass), 315 nucleotides. RefSeq lists it as uncharacterized. NCBI's taxonomy places the organism in Eukaryota, Viridiplantae, Streptophyta, Magnoliopsida, Poales, Poaceae. The transcript has 3 exons. The record is from RefSeq and is a predicted model, not a curated record.
GCGGCAGCGGCAGCGGGGCAGAGGGGUUCGUUGAGGAAGGAUUGUUUGGCAGCGCUGAACGUAGCCCCAUGGCUCAGCCAUGGAUGCAAUCUUAAGAUUCGGAUGCUGCAUCAUGUGCUGAUGUCAAAGAAAAAAUUUUGUGCUGAGAAUUGAGGUCUUGUUUGUGGCCAGGUGGUCUGGUGCAAAUGCUACUACAAGAUAACUGUUCUUUUUGUGUGAACUGAUGCCAGUCUGAGUCUGAAUAUUUGCGUGAACUGUAUUUGUGUGAACUGAUGCCAGUCUGAAUAUUUAUGUGAACAUUGUGAGAAUUUAUUA